RNAcentral lists this ribosomal RNA (331 nucleotides) under uncultured eukaryote. Its description in RNAcentral is "partial 18S ribosomal RNA". It matches the Rfam family "Eukaryotic small subunit ribosomal RNA", at positions 1470 to 1796 of the family's 1831-position model. The record is from RNAcentral.
CCCUUAUAUGUUCUGGGCCGCACGCGCGCUACACUGUUCGACGCAGCGAGUCUUAACCUUGACCGAAAGGUUUGGGUAAUCUUCAGCAAAGUCGAACGUGAUGGGGAUCGAUCAUUGCAAUUAUUGAUCGUGAACGAGGAAUUCCUAGUAAGUGCAAGUCAUCAGCUUGCGCUGAUUACGUCCCUGCCCUUUGUACACACCGCCCGUCGCUACUACCGAUUGAAUGGUUUAGUGAGAUCUCUGGAUUGACGCUGGCUAGGGGGCGACCCUUGGCCAGACUGUUGAGAAACUGCUCAAACUUGAUCAUUUAGAGGAAGUAAAAGUCGUAACA